CGUUAGCGGCGGACGGGUGAGUAACACGUGGGUAACCUACCUAUAAGACUGGGAUAACUUCGGGAAACCGGAGCUAAUACAGGAUAAUAUUUCGAACCGCAUGGUUCGAUAGUGAAAGAUGGUUUUGCUAUCACUUAUAGAUGGACCCGCGCCGUAUUAGCUAGUUGGUAAGGUAACGGCUUACCAAGGCGACGAUACGUAGCCGACCUGAGAGGGUGAUCGGCCACACUGGAACUGAGACACGGUCCAGACUCCUACGGGAGGCAGCAGGU
Molecule: ribosomal RNA, 272 nt
Filed under: uncultured Staphylococcus sp.
Lineage: Bacteria; Bacillati; Bacillota; Bacilli; Caryophanales; Staphylococcaceae
Description: partial 16S ribosomal RNA
Rfam family: Bacterial small subunit ribosomal RNA
Source: RNAcentral